Molecule: non-coding RNA, 75 nt
Filed under: uncultured eukaryote
Lineage: Eukaryota
Source: RNAcentral
GCAACCCUCUGUGCAGCGAAAGAAAGAAACAGGAUUAAAAAAAAAAAAAAAAAAAAAAAGGGGGGAAAAAAAGGC